RNAcentral lists this unclassified non-coding RNA (310 nucleotides) under Haliotis rubra (blacklip abalone). RNAcentral's name for it is "keratin-associated protein 9-1-like, transcript variant X1". Lineage: Eukaryota; Metazoa; Mollusca; Gastropoda; Lepetellida; Haliotidae. The record is from RNAcentral.
GUGACCUAUAAAGAUUUGGAAACGAGCCUGUUAAUCAGGACCAGAUUGUGACACAAAUCGACGAACAGGGAGAAUGUUGCAGCUUUUCGUAGCAGGUCUGGUGGCGGCAGCCGUUAUUGUCGAGUCUGCCGAUGUGUGCCCGACUGACCCCCCGGGCCUGGUGUAUGCGUGUGCCAAUAGGCCACAGUGUUUGGGGGACAGGUCCUGCGGGUCAGGUCACAAGUGUUGUCCCCACAUCUGCGGCUCCCGAUGUUUCCAGACAGUCCACUGCGACCCGAUUGACUGCGGUUCACUCACGUGUACCUUCGGC